This 497-nucleotide ribosomal RNA is filed under the name uncultured bacterium. RNAcentral describes it as "partial 16S ribosomal RNA". It matches the Rfam family "Bacterial small subunit ribosomal RNA", at positions 36 to 507 of the family's 1533-position model. The record is from RNAcentral.
UCUUCCCUCUUUCUUCGUGCCUAAUACAUGCAAGUCGAGCGAACGGACGAGAAGCUUGCUUCUCUGAUGUUAGCGGCGGACGGGUGAGUAACACGUGGAUAACCUACCUAUAAGACUGGGAUAACUUCGGGAAACCGGAGCUAAUACCGGAUGAUAUUUUGAACCGCAUGGUUCAAAAGUGAAAGACGGUCUUGCUGUCACUUAUAGAUGGAUCCGCGCUGCAUUAGCUAGUUGGUAAGGUAACGGGUUACCAAGGCAACGAUGCAUAGCCGACCUGAGAGGGUGAUCGGCCACACUGGAACUGAGACACGGUCCAGACCCCUACGGGAGGCAGCAGUAGGGAAUCUUCCGCAAUGGGCGAAAGCCUGACGGAGCAACGCCGCGUGAGUGAUGAAGGUCUUCGGAUCGUAAAACUCUGUUAUUAGGGAAGAACAUAUGUGUAAGUAACUGUGCACAUCUUGACGGUACCUAAUCAGAAAGCCACGGCUAACUACGUG